This 254-nucleotide long non-coding RNA is filed under the name Anas platyrhynchos platyrhynchos (common mallard). RNAcentral's name for it is "lncRNA (ENSAPLG00000019224.1)". The record is from RNAcentral. Lineage: Eukaryota; Metazoa; Chordata; Aves; Anseriformes; Anatidae.
GGUCCAGCUACUUUGAAAUCUCAUCUCAUGCCAUGCUUUUAGUUCCCCACUACACACAAGGAAGAAUCUGUGGGUGGAUGGUAAGACUUAAUCCUGACCAAGACAAACAGAGAUGCAAUUACGAACCGACAACCUGUGCUCCAUUUCUAACAGUGCUGGGAGGGAGAACAGCCAUGCUGAGGCUGAGAAUGAAAUCCACUUUCCUGCCUCAUAUUCUUUGCAAGCCAGCACCCCAGAUGAGAGGAGAGCAAUGA